UGGAAAAGAUUGAUAUGGAUAAAAAAUAGUCACUGUUGAUAGUAUUGUGUUUUAGAGUUCUCAAAGUGUUGUCAUUAAAACAGGAGAUGGAGAAGAUUGGUGUUUUUUGGUUAAGACAUAUGAACAUAAACUUUCAACGUGUGGUUGAAGGCAUAGUUGAUAACAAAUUUACUUCGUAUCCAUCUUAAGUUGUAACCUUCAUUAUAGUUCAGAUAUGAGCAACAG
Molecule: unclassified non-coding RNA, 225 nt
Filed under: Hevea brasiliensis (rubber tree)
Lineage: Eukaryota; Viridiplantae; Streptophyta; Magnoliopsida; Malpighiales; Euphorbiaceae
Source: RNAcentral